ACGGGUGAGGAAUACAUCGGAAUCUACUUUUUCGUGGGGGAUAACGUAGGGAAACUUACGCUAAUACCGCAUACGACCUACGGGUGAAAGCAGGGGACCUUCGGGCCUUGCGCGAUUGAAUGAGCCGAUGUCGGAUUAGCUAGUUGGCGGGGUAAAGGCCCACCAAGGCGACGAUCCGUAGCUGGUCUGAGAGGAUGAUCAGCCACACUGGAACUGAGACACGGUCCAGACUCCUACGGGAGGCAGCAGUGGGGAAUAUUGGACAAUGGGCGCAAGCCUGAUCCAGCCAUACCGCGUGGGUGAAGAAGGCCUUCGGGUUGUAAAGCCCUUUUGUUGGGAAAGAAAUCCAGCCGGCUAAUACCUGGUUGGGAUGACGGUACCCAAAGAAUAAGCACCGGCUAACUUCGUGCCAGCAGCCGCGGUAAUACGAAGGGUGCAAGCGUUACUCGGAAUUACUGGGCGUAAAGCGUGCGUAGGUGGUUGUUUAAGUCUGUUGUGAAAGCCCUGGGCUCAACCUGGGAACUGCAGUGGAAACUGGAUAACUAGAGUGUGGUAGAGGGUAGCGGAAUUCCCGGUGUA
RNAcentral lists this ribosomal RNA (579 nucleotides) under uncultured bacterium. Its description in RNAcentral is "bacterial SSU rRNA". It matches the Rfam family "Bacterial small subunit ribosomal RNA", at positions 102 to 677 of the family's 1533-position model. The record is from RNAcentral.